CGUUAGCGGCAGGCUUAACACAUGCAAGUCGAGCGACAAAGGGGCUUCGGCCCUGAGUAGAGCGGCGGACGGGUGCGUAACACGUGGAUAAUCUGCCUCGUGGCGGGGGAUAACAGUCCGAAAGGACUGCUAAUACCGCAUGUCAGGUCGGAAACCCCGGUUUCUGACGAAAAAGAGGGCGCCCGCAAGGGGCUCUCACCACGAGAUGAGUCCGCGGCCCAUCAGCUAGUUGGCGGUGUAAUAGACCACCAAGGCUAAGACGGGUAGCUGGUCUGAGAGGAUGACCAGCCACACUGGGACUGAGACACGGCCCAGACUCCUACGGGAGGCAGCAGUGGGGAAUAUUGGACAAUGGGCGAAAGCCUGAUCCAGCCAUGCCGCGUGAGUGAUGAAGGUCUUCGGAUCGUAAAGCUCUGUGGGAAGGGACGAAAAAGCCUAACCUAAUACGUUAGGUCUUGACGGUACCUUCUUAGCAAGCACCGGCUAACUCCGUGCCAGCAGCCGCGGUAAUACGGAGGGUGC
This 522-nucleotide ribosomal RNA is filed under the name uncultured bacterium. RNAcentral's name for it is "bacterial SSU rRNA". It matches the Rfam family "Bacterial small subunit ribosomal RNA", at positions 34 to 535 of the family's 1533-position model. The record is from RNAcentral.